GGGGCCUAGGGGGGUCAGGGCUCCUGGGUCCUGGUCCCAGCUAGGACAAGCGUGCGAGCUAAGCCCUGUAGAGAGGCGGGGGGAUCGGAAGUGCCUCUAACCAGCGGCGUCUCCACCAGGCCCGGAGAAGAACGGGUUAAACCCACCGCUCUCCUGAACCUUCCGCUUCCCAGGGAGCUGCCAGCCGCGGGGCCGGAGCAGCGCCGGGACCUUCCUGUCCAGCCCCCGGAGCCCGGGUCCUGGCCCCGCCGGGUGCGCGCAGGGCUGCGUGCCCGGCUCCGGGGGCAGCACCAGCGGCAGGAAGUCGCUGCCCGGAGGGGCCCGGAGCCGAGCCCAGCACAGCUUGGUUGAGCAGCCCGGGUCUCCCCCACGGUCCCCGGCCCGGAUCCCGCCUCCCCCCGGCAGAGCGCGGGGCCGGGGUUCGAGCCCGGCCGCGUUCUCUGCCCCGGGGGGAGAUUUCACCGAGCAGCGCUGCCCGGCCCGGGCGCGAUCCCCCGCAUGGAGCCAGGGGAAGAGCCGAGGGUCCCGGAUCUCCCGGGCGCCCAGGAACGGGAGACACCCAGAGGCGCCCCCCCAGGUGUCAGGAAGGAGGAGGAGAAUCCCCAGUGGGAGCCACACAGGCCUUCGCAGAGCCCCGAGCAGGGAGAGGCCAACAGGGUGGGAUGGCAGGGGGAAGAACUCCAAGGGGUGGAAAAUGGAUUUGGGCUUCUCAGUAGCAUGUCUGUACCCCAGAGACUGACCAUCUGUGGGCAAUGUGGGAAGAGCUUUAGCCAGUAUUCGGACCUUAUUAAGCACCAGCGGAUCCACACGGGGGAGAGACCUUACAGCUGCUCCCAGUGCGGGAAGAGCUUCAGCCAGAGCUCCCACCUCACCAAGCAUCAGCGGAUCCACACGGGUGAGAGGCCCUACAAAUGCCCUGACUGCGGGAAGGGCUUCAACGACAGCUCCUACCUCCUGCAGCACCGCCGCACUCACACGGGCGAGCGGCCUUACGAAUGCCCGGACUGUGGGAAAAGCUUCGGAGACAAGUCAGGCCUUACCCGGCACCAGAAGGUGCAUCACGGCGAGAGACCCUACAAAUGCCCUGACUGCGGGAAGAGCUUCAGCGACAGCUCCUACCUCAUCCAGCACCAGCGCAUCCACACGGGCGAGCGGCCCUACAAAUGCACCGAGUGCGGGAAGAGCUUCAGCCGGAACUCGCACCUGGUCCAGCACCAGCGGGUCCACACAGGGGAACGCCCCUACAAAUGCGCUGAUUGCGGGAUGAGCUUCAGCCACAGCUCCACCCUGAUCGGGCACCAGAGGACCCACCGUGGCGAUAAGCCCUACAAAUGCCCCCAGUGCAGGAAGAGCUUCCGGCACAAGUCAACCCUGGUGAAGCACCAGCGGACCCACACCGGGGAGCGGCCCUACAGCUGCCCCAAGUGUGGGAAGAGCUUCAGCUGGGGCUCGGCUUUCAUCAAGCACCAGCGCACACACACCGGGGAGCGGCCCUACCAAUGCACUCAGUGUGGGAAGGGCUUUGGGGACAGCUCGGCCCUGAUCCAGCACCAGCGCACCCACACCGGUGAGCGGCCCUACAAGUGCCUCGAGUGCGGGAAGGGCUUUGGUGACAGCUCCACCCUGAAUCAGCACCAGCGCACCCAUUUGGCAGAGAAACCCUACAAAUGCCCAGAGUGUGGGAGGAGCUUCAUCCUCAGCUCCCACCUUGUCCGGCACCAGAGGGUCCAUGUGGCCUAGAGUCCCCAUGCGAGGACAGUUCUAUUAACUGUUCACACCUCUUUAGGAACCUUAGAAACCAGGCCUCUUUAGGGACCAGGCCUCCUUAGAAACCAAGGAACAUGGAGACCUGGGACCAGGCCUCUUUAGGGACCAUGCCUCCUUAGAAACCAAGGACCUUGGAGACCUGGGACCAGGCCUCUUUAGGAACCAGGCCUCCUUAGAGACCAGAGACCAGGCCUCUUUGGGGAGCAGGCCUCCUUAGAGACCAAGGGCCUUGAAGACCUGGGACCCGGCCUCUUUAGGGAGGAGGAAGCAAGCUCCUUAGGAAUCACAUCAGCCCAGAGGUCUGACAUAGUUUUUCCCCUGGGGUGAGGCACAGCCCGUCCGACUCCAGACUAGUGAUGUACCACGUAGGCAUUGCGAUAUGAGUGCAGUGUGUGUAUGGGUGGAAGGGGAGGACGGGAAUGACUGAGGGGCCCCCAGGUGGAAAUUAGUUGAAGUGGGGAAGGAAGUGAAUAUGGGGGUCCCUUCUGCCCCAGUCAAGAUGGGGCUAUUAGAAAUGCUUAGAGGCCACAAGGCAGGGUUCUCAGCCUGGGAUCGCUGCCCCUCAAAGGGGGUCAUGGUAACCCUACCCCUUCCUUGUUGCUAAGAGGGAGGGUUCCUGUGUAUAUGGCAGUGGGAUCCUGGUAGGGAAAAGGUGAGAAUCCCCACAGUCGUGAGGGAGUGAUCUCUGAAGGACAUGGGGUCUUUUGUCUGUGCCCACUCCUGGGUGGGGGAGACCUGUUCCUUCGUUCCCCUGGAACUCCACAGCUCUGGACCUCACUCUCUGCUCCUUCUCCUCUCCCAGGGGCUGGGGAAGGGAAGUAUUGGGAGCCAUGGGGAGGGGUAUGUGAGGCUGCUGGAAACUGGAGGGGGCUGCUCUCAGAGGCCAGACAGACGUAUGCUCCCAGAUGGCUGGGCGGGGGGUGAGGGAGUGUCUAAUCCCCUCCCUGGUGGCGUCUCCAGCGCCUGGCUCCUCUCUUCACGGUGCAUAGACCUGCUAGCUCAGGAGCCCAGUGGCACCUGGGGAACGUCCGUUCCUGAGCUUGGGGCAGCUGGCAUCCAGCCAGCCUCACCCUUGGCUCUCGGUUCCCAGCAGGCACCUGGAUCCCACCCCCUGCCUGGUUUUGAUGAUGAUCCAGUCUGCUGUUGUGUUAGUCAAUUGUAUCUGUUGGAAAUAAACUUCCCCCUCGGGAUCUGCCUCCCCCCAUCUCUGUGCUGAGGGCCCUGUCUUAGGGCUCAGCGUGGCCUUGGACAUGUUGUUCUCGCCUGCAGGGAAGCUCAGAAGCUGGCUUGGGCUCCCAGUUAUCACGAUUUGCCGCUCUGAUCCUGACGUAAACCCCAGCAGAACGCCGUCUCGUCUUGCUCAGUAUCAUCUUCAUGGUAGGUGUGGCUCUCAGUUCCCUCCUGCCCUGCCUGACCCCUGGCAGGAGCCCUCCCCUCCCCCAGCCUUUCUCUGAGGGCUCAGAGAAUCAUAGAGAUGUAGGGCUGGAAGGGACUUCGAGAGGUCAUCAGGUCCAGCCCCCUGUGCAAAGGCAGGUCCGAGUAACCCUAGACCACCCCUGAAAGGUGUUUGUCCAACCUGUUCUUAAAAACCUGCAAUAUUGCCGCUUCCACAGCCUCCCUAGGAAACCUCUAACCUAUCCUACAUCUCCCUUGCUGCAGAUUAAGCCCAUUACUUCUGGUCCUGCCUUCGGUGGACAUGGCGAACAAUUGAUCACUGUCCUCUUUGUAACAGCCCUGGACAUAUUUGAAGACUGUUAUCAGGUCCCCCUUCAACCUUCUUUUCUCAAGACUAAAGAUGCCUGUUUUUUUUUAACCUUUCCUCAUAGGUUCUCUAAAGCUUUUAUUAUUUUUGUUCCUCUCCUCUGGACACUCCAGUUUGUCCACAUCUUUCUUAAAGCUCGGUGCCCACAAUUGGACACACUUCUCCAGCAGAGGCCUAGGCUGAGUGCCAUUGGACCAGCCCCUGAGAAGUGAUCACAGAAGGGAUCCCUUACCCGUUGCUCCCACUCAACUCCCAUUUCCGACUGCCACCGAACCCUCCUGGCUUCAACCUUCAUGAACCCAAUGUUCCAUCUGCCACAACUGCCAUGGAAUCUUCAUGAAUCCAAUGUUCCAUCCACCAUAAUUGCCAUGGAACCUUCAUAACGCCAAUGUUCUGUCCACCUCAACCACCACGGAGCCUUUAUAAACUCAAUGUUCCAUCUGCCUCAGCUUCCAUGGAACCCUCCUGGGCUCAACAAUUCAUCUGCCAUGGAACUUUCUGGGCACCCCUAUAUUCAUCAACAACCUUUUCCCAUCUUGUGACCUACAUCCUCAUUUCAGGGGCAGAGUCUUUAUCGGCCCCAUGUAUGUCAUCUUGCAAAGAAACAGCCAAGCCCUCACUUGGGGACAUCCCUGUGUGUCUAAUGCAGAUGGCAGCAAUCUCAGCCUGGUCACCUGCUGGCCCUAUGGGAUUCCCCCACCAAUACUCCACCAACUGAUGCAUUUUCCCCUGGGAGAGUUGAGAAUCCAUCACCCCCUAUCUGCCUCCAGAAGUCUAUAAGUUCUUUAGAGCAGGGACUGUCUUUUUGUUCUGUGUUUGUACGGCACCUGGUAUAGUGAGGUCCUGCCCCUUAACUGAGGCUCUGAGGCUCUGCUGUAAUACACCUAACAAAUAAUUCAAAGGGGUUUGGUCCAUGACUGGAUAACUAUCUAUCCAACUACUCCAGUCCUUCUCACUUCUGAGAGCUUUUUUCCUAAUGCCUGGGAAGAUAAACCCACCGAUGCCCCCCAACACACCCUGGGCUCUGAGCUGUUCCCAUGUGAGCUCCAAUUUAUAGUACAAACUUCCUUUCCACUGAAUGCAUCCGAUGAAGUGAGCUGUAGACUAACACGGCUGCUACUCUGAAACCUUUUGUUGCUCAACCUUGCUCAACAUGGGUCUACAGCUGCCCAAGGGUGGCCUAUUGUCCUGCGUCCCAGAGAGCCGCCCCACACAGGGAAGGGCUUGACACUUGCUGAAGGACCAUCCAGGACACAGCAAUCUGCAGCUACCAACUCUGAAUGUCUGUUAACUACUGGCCCUAUGGAGCAUGGGGGCACAAGUAAUCCAGAUGUGCAGGGGAAGGAGAGGGCAAGAGGGACCCUCACCAGCCUGAAACACGGACAAACUCCCAGCUGGGGCCAGCUCAGAGCAGGGGACUGGGAGUGCUUUGUGCUUGUUUUCAAAGCUCUGUCACUCUCAAGGGCUUUAAUAGUAAAGUCACUGGCGUUAGGAAACCCCUUUGCUCAGCCCGUGUUCUUUGCUUUCUGUAAGGGUCCGUGGCCGUCCCUCCCCAUCAGUCUCAGAGGGAGGCCAUGCCCCUGCACUAGUGCGUCUGAAAGGGGGAACUAGCACUCUCAAGGCUCUGAUUCUUUGGGCAGGGCAGGGCAACAAACAGUCUAUAAUGACAGGUUUCAGAGUAGCCGCCGUGUUAGUCUGUAUCCGCAAAAAGAAAAGGAGGACUUGUGGCACUUUAGAGACGAACCAAUUUAUUGGAGCAUAAGCUUUCGUGAGCUACAGCUCACUUCAUCGGAUGCAACAGUCUGUAAGGCGCUGGCCCUCUGGGACAGGCAGAGCAGUCAGCAGUGUAUGAGGCCCUCUGGCUGGGCUGAAUGACAGUCUAGAGGGCUCUGGCCGUCUGGGCGGGGCAGGGCCACAGUCUAAAGGGCUCCAGCUGUCUGGCAGGGAAGAGGAGCAAGGGAUCUAGGGGCCUCUGGGCAGGGCAGAGCAAUAAGCAAUCUAAGGUUCUGGCCUCCUAGCUCAGGCAGAUGACAGACAAAUGCAGGCCUCUAGGCCUAAGGUGGGUAGGCGGCUACCCCAGGGGUGGGGUGGCUGCAGGAGGUAGGGGGACUUGGGCCCACCCUACUCCACUGGGUCCCAACCCAGGGCCCUGCCAAUGGUGCAGGGCCUGCCUUUUAAACGUCCUGUCCCACCUCUCUGCUUCCGGUGGGGCGGGCGCGGCUGGCACGGCUCCACCCACCAAGAGUGAAUGGUGCCUCCUCCCUAUCAGUCUCCAAGGGAGGCUAUGCCCCCUCUCUACAGUUUCCCACCCCCUUGUCCAUGAAAGGGUUAAACUAGAAGCCUAGAGGGCCCACAGCCAGAGUGCCCAUGGCCUUGGCAACUGGGGGUGGAGGGGAGAGACUCGGAAGGUUUCAGGCUCUAGGACGGCUGGAUGGUGGAGUCCCAUGUCCCAAGGAUGGGCUCAGGCAAGAGGUGUGAGCCUGGGCAUGUGCCCCAUAGACCCAGAGCUGGAAACAGGGACUACACCCUGCCCAGAGCCAGAGCCAGGGGACUUGAGAGCACAUGGGACCCAACGAUGGGGGCCCACUGGCAAUAGAUGGGUGUCCAUACAGAGGGCGACUGGGCUUGGACUGCUUGGACUGCUCUGACACAAAUGGAUGGACUGAUUGAUUGGACAGACAGACAGAUGGACCAAUCGCUAGCUGAGGGAAGUGAGAUGCCAACCCCAACGUGGUGGCAUAAGACACAAAAUUGAUUCCAGAUCUCCAGGGAAUUUUCUCCCCAUUGCAGAUCAGACCCCUGGGGAUUUUGGAAAAGAUAAGAAAACCAGACUCGUGGGUGGGGGGAUUUCAUAUGCAGAAAAACAUUUGUUGUGGCACAGACGGGCCGUGGAAUUUUUAUAGCCUGUUGAGGGGGGCCACAGAAAGAAAAAGUUUGAGAACCCCUGGACUAGCUGGCUCUUGGGGAGGCUGUUGCAUUUGGGGAGUCCCUGGACACAGGGCCUUCUUCUCCCCUUUCCUAUAGGUCUCCCUCGUCAGACUACAUUUCCCAUGUUGCAUCAUGGGCAUAGGACUCCCAGGAUGCACCUCCCCUUCUCACCUAAGACAGACCAAAGUGCAUCCUGGGAGUCCCCGAGCCACCCGCAUUAUUAGAGUUGUUGGUUUCUCAUGCGCCUCUUCUCUAUAGGCUGGGCUCCCUGGUCGGACUACAUCUCCCAUGGUGCAUCAUGGCCUGCCCUAGGGGAUGGGAGGCAGUGCAUAUGGGAAUCCUGUGGCCAUGAUGCAUCAUGGGAGUUGUAGAUUGUGUGCCUCAUGAUCCUAGUCUAUAUAGGCUGGGCUCCCAGGUCUGAGUACAUCUCCCCUGAUGCAUCAUGGUCUACUCUAGGUGACAGGAGAUGGUGCAUCAUAAAACUCCCACACCUGCAGUGCAUCAUGGAAGAUCUAGUCCAGCCAGGGAGCUCAGCCCUCCCCUGACCUAGAGGAGACUGGAGACAUGAGGCAACCGAACUAUAAAUCCCCUACGGCACCGUGGUGGCAGAUCCAAAUUGAAAUAUUUCUGUUUUCAAACAUUUGGAUUUUUUGACAAGACAUGGACAUUUUCUGUGGAAAGCAGCGCAUGCUUUUCAUCUAGUCAAAAACUCAAUUUUCUGUAGAAAAACAGUU
RNA transcript from Chelonia mydas (Green sea turtle), 7191 nucleotides. It is a transcript of the gene named zinc finger protein 768, with no coding region annotated. The record is from RefSeq and is a predicted model, not a curated record. The transcript is spliced from 3 exons. Lineage: Eukaryota; Metazoa; Chordata; Testudines; Cheloniidae.